RNAcentral lists this small RNA (670 nucleotides) under Pan troglodytes (chimpanzee). Its description in RNAcentral is "processed transcript". Lineage: Eukaryota; Metazoa; Chordata; Mammalia; Primates; Hominidae. The record is from RNAcentral.
AAGAUUUUACCUUUCCUUCUGAUAUCACUGAAUUUUUAGGACAGCCAUAUUUUGAAGCCUUUAAGAAAAAAAUGCCUACAGCUUUUGCAGCUAAAGGAAUAAAUAAAUUGCUAAAUAAACUGUUUUUAAUAAAUGAGCAGUCACCAAGAGCCAGUGAAGAAACCUUACUUGGAAUUUCAAAAAAAGCUAAACAAAUGAAGAUCAAUGUACAGAAUAACGUGGAUCUUGGACAGCCAGUAAAGAAUAAGAGAGUCUUCAAAGAAAAGUCAUCAGAAUUUGAUGUGAGGGCUUUCUGCAACCAGCUGAAACACAAAGCUACUCAGUCCCCAGAACAGUUUUUCAACUGUAUCUCAAGAACUAUGGUGCUUUGUGAGCCUUGAAACUUCUGCAGCCUGUGCACCUGUUUGUAGGAGACCAGUUUUGAUUUUAAAUAUUCUCAAUCCAGACUAAAGACAACCAAGUAUUCUUCUCAGAAAGUGAUAGGAACUCCUCAUGCCAAAAGUUUUGUGCAAAGAUUCCGAGAGGCUGAGUCCUUCACACAACUUUCUGAAGAAAUCCAGAUGGCAGUUGUAUGGUGCAGGAGCAAAAAACUCAAGGCUCAGGCCAUUUUUCUGGGUAACAAACUUCUUAAAAGCAACCGGCUUAAACAUCUGGAAGCUCAAGGUACUAG